This 875-nucleotide ribosomal RNA is filed under the name uncultured archaeon. RNAcentral describes it as "bacterial SSU rRNA". It matches the Rfam family "Archaeal small subunit ribosomal RNA", at positions 21 to 903 of the family's 1478-position model. The record is from RNAcentral.
CCUGACUGCUAUCGGAUUGAUACUAAGCCAUGCGAGUCUUUGCAGUAAUGCAAGGCAUACGGCUCAGUAACACGUAGUCAACUUACCCUAUGGACGAGGAUAAUCUCGGGAAACUGAGCAUAAUACUCGAUAGAUCAUAAUGCCUGGAAUGGUUUAUGGUUAAAAUGAUUCGUCGCCGUAGGAUGGGACUGCGGCCUAUCAGCUUGUUGGUGAGGUAAUGGCCCACCAAGGCGAUUACAGGUACGGGCUCUGAGAGGAGAAGCCCGGAGAUGGGUACUGAGACAAGGACCCAGGCCCUAUGGGGCGCAGCAGGCGAGAAAACUUUGCAAUGUGCGGAAGCACGACAAGGUUAAUCCGAGUGAUUUCUGCUAAAGAAAUCUUUUGCAAGUCAUAAAACCACUAGUGAAUAAGGGGUGGGCAAGUUCUGGUGUCAGCCGCCGCGGUAAAACCAGCACCUCAAGUGGUCAGGAUGAUUAUUGGGCCUAAAGCAUCCGUAGCCGGCUCUGUAAGUUUUCGGUUAAAUCCAUGUGCUCAACGCAUGGGCUGCCGAAAAUACUGCAUAGCUAGGGAGUGGGAGAGGUAGACGGUACUCGGUAGGAAGGGGUAAAAUCCUUUGAUCUACCGAUGACCACCUGUGGCGAAGGCGGUCUACCAGAACACGUUCGACGGUGAGGGAUGAAAGCUGGGGGAGCAAACCGGAUUAGAUACCCGGGUAGUCCCAGCUGUAAACGAUGCAGACUCGAUGAUGCAUUGGCAUAUAGCCAGUGCAGUGUCGCAGGGAAGCCGUUAAGUCUGCCGCCUGGGAAGUACGUACGCAAGUAUGAAACUUAAAGGAAUUGGCGGGGGAGCACCACAAGGGGUGAAGCCUGCGGUUC